UUGGAGGGCAAGUCUGGUGCCAGCACCCGCGGUAAUUCCGGCUCUAGUAGCGUAUAUUAAAGUUGUUGCAGUUAAAAAGCUCGUAGUCUGACUUCGGGCUGGGCUGUGAAGGUUCACCGCAAGGUGGAACGGAUAGCCUGGUCUUAACCUCUGAUGUGCUCUCUGCUCUUAACUGAGCGGAUCUGUCGCACAGGGGCGUUUACCUUGAGCAAAUUGAGGUGUUCAAGGCAGGCAUAUAUGCUCGAACAAUGUAGCAUGGGAUAAUGAAAUACGGCCUCGGGUUUACUUUUGCUGGUUGGUGAACCCGGGCAAUGAUCAACAGGGGCGGUCGGGGUGCUUCAUAUGCAGGCGCUAGAGGUGAAAUUCUUGGACCGUCCGCAGAUGCCCAGAUGCGAAAGCGUUGCACCAGUACGUCCCCAUUGAUCAAGAACGAAAGUUAAGGGAGCGAAGACGAUCAGAUACCGUCGUAGUCUUAACCCUAAACGAUACCGACCAGGGAUCGAGGACAGUCCCAUGGUUGACUCCUUCGGCGCCUUACGGGAAAC
Molecule: ribosomal RNA, 545 nt
Filed under: uncultured eukaryote
Lineage: Eukaryota
Description: bacterial SSU rRNA
Rfam family: Eukaryotic small subunit ribosomal RNA
Source: RNAcentral